Vidua macroura (Pin-tailed whydah) is the source of this 1058-nucleotide long non-coding RNA. RefSeq lists it as uncharacterized. The record is from RefSeq and is a predicted model, not a curated record. Lineage: Eukaryota; Metazoa; Chordata; Aves; Passeriformes; Viduidae. The transcript is spliced from 3 exons.
CUGGGAUACAGGGCCACGUGCAGCUCCGUUUCCAGUUGAGCACUGCAAUUACUGGGGACAUGAAGCUCACUGGCCUGUCUCAUGUCCUUUGGAAUGAUACCAGAUGGUCAACCUCCUUUCCUUUGGGGAAGAGGGUCCGUACUGCUGUGAAGAAUUUGAGCCUGGGGAAAGGAGGUUAGCUGAAGAGUGAAAAAAUCAAGAUUUGCAAGUCAAAUCAAGUAUUGCAAAACUCCUGUCCUGGAGCCUUUGAAAAUUACCCUCGAGAGACAACGAUUAUGGGAGUUAUGGUGUAGAACAACAUCAUGGAAGUUUAAAUCAGAACUGACCGAGUUUCAAGUCAUUUGGGAAGAUGUCAUCAAGCUUGUUUUUAAAUGGGCUUAAAAGCAGUUUCUGAAGUAGUAAUGAAUACAGGUUGGCCUUCUCUGCACCUCUUCACCUGGCACCAUUAAGUAUAAUUACUUCUAGUGCUCUUCAUGCUGACAGCAUCAAGUGACAGGUAGUUUUCCUGUUGUAGGUGACAUCUCUAAGAUGUCUUGUUGUGUGACUUUGCUGCCAGGAAAGAUAACUUUUACAUUUUAAUCACCAUAUUUCCAUUCAUGGACACUAGGAUGUAAUAGGAAAUUCUUAGGGAAUUGAAUUCUUCCUUGGAGCUGAAACUCCCUAGUUCUUGGAACAGUUUAUCCAUUGGAGAGCUCAGCAAAUGGGUUGUUGCUUUCUUUAGACCUUGACUAAUAAGAAUAGAUUACUCAAGGGAUGAGUGAAAAGGUUAAGUCUUUUUUUUCAGUAAUCAGUGGAUUAACUCAUCUCUGAAUAUCAUUGCUGUUCAUGUAGUUCACACAGUUUAUUAGUACCACAAAGUCUUGGAGACAAGGUUGUAAGUUUCACUCAGGUUCAAUCUGAUAAAGAUUUCAUGCCUGGUUCCUGGAGCAUCUUCUUCAGGUGCUGACCAUUCAGUGCCUUCAGUUGCCUCAGCUGCAAUCAGUCCACACACUUAGCAGAAACCACACCUUGACCAUCUAUGGAGCUGGUCUGUACCACAGCUGCCUUAACCAUUUAUU